GACUCGAUGGUUAAGUUGGUAAAAUAUCAAAAUGAGGGGUGCAGGUUCGAUACCGGCUGGGGCCC
This is a non-coding RNA of Meloidogyne enterolobii, 65 nucleotides long. The record is from the annotation of a GenBank genome assembly. NCBI's taxonomy places the organism in Eukaryota, Metazoa, Nematoda, Chromadorea, Rhabditida, Meloidogynidae.